This 456-nucleotide ribosomal RNA is filed under the name uncultured bacterium. RNAcentral describes it as "bacterial SSU rRNA". It matches the Rfam family "Bacterial small subunit ribosomal RNA", at positions 340 to 784 of the family's 1533-position model. The record is from RNAcentral.
UACGGAAGGCAGCAGUGGGGAAUAUUGCACAAUGGGCGAAAGCCUGAUGCAGCUAUGCCGCGUGUAUGAAGAAGGCCUUAGGGUUGUAAAGUACUUUCAUCGGGGAGGAAAAACAAAACUAAUAAUUUUAUUUCUUGACGUUACCCGAAAAAGAAGCACCGGCUAACUCCGUGCCAGCAGCCGCGGUAAUACGGAGGGUGCUAGCGUUAAUCAGAAUUACUGGGCGUAAAGAGCACGUAGGUGGUUUUUUUAAGUCAGAUGUGAAAUCCCUGGGCUUAACCUAGGAACUGCAUUUUGAAACUGAAAUACUAGAGUAUCGUAGAGGGAGGUAGAAUUCUAGGUGUAGCGGUGAAAUGCGUAGAUAUCUGGAGGAAUACCUGUGGCGAAAAGCGGCCUCCUAAACGAAUACUGACACUGAGGUGCGAAAAGCGUGGGGAGCAAAACAGGGAUUAGAUA